Long non-coding RNA from Humulus lupulus (European hop), 449 nucleotides. RefSeq lists it as uncharacterized. Lineage: Eukaryota; Viridiplantae; Streptophyta; Magnoliopsida; Rosales; Cannabaceae. The transcript is spliced from 2 exons. The record is from RefSeq and is a predicted model, not a curated record.
UUCAACAUUUGCGCACAAAUAAUGCGAAAACUAAGGAAGUCGCAUGGAGAACUGUUAAGUGUCCUCGUCAACCAUCAAAAUCAGUACAAUGUGGAUUCUAUGUUAUGAGGAUGAUGAAAGACUUCAUGACAAAUGAGUUUUCAAUGCGAUGGCUAACUAGUAAAUGUGGCGGGAAGAAUUCUUACACAAAGGAUGAGAUCAAUGAAGUACGUGAAGAAUGGGCACAAUGCGUUAUGGAUUUGAUGAGUACUACAUAAGUCUACUCACUUUUGUUAACUUAGACUUUUAAAGAGAUAUACUUAGAAUAACUUAGACUUUCUUAGAGAUACACACACUUUUAUUGUCUAACUAUAGUUUACACUUUUGUUGCUUAUAUGAGUAAUUUUGUAAUUAACUUAAGACUCAUCAUUAUUUUGGAUAUUUAAUUCAAAUUCUAGUAUUUUAUAUUA